AUGGGUUCCUUCACAAAUGGUGGGGCAGCUGAUUCUGCAAGUCCUGUGACCCCCUUCACUAAAGCUGGGUUCUUCAGCAAGAUCUCAUUUUGGUGGUUGAAUCCUCUACUGAAGGUGGGCUACAAGAAACCCCUUGAGGACAAAGACAUACCACUUCUAGGCGCCACAGAUCGAGCACACAACCAGUACAUGAUGUUCAUGGAGAAGCUGAAUGGCAAGAAGCAGUCGCCGUCACAUGACCCACCAUCAUUCUUAUGGACUAUUGUUUCUUCUCACAAGUGUGCCAUCUUGGUCUCCGGUUUCUUUGCUUUGCUCAAGGUUCUCACCUUGUCUACAGGCCCAAUAAUUCUCAAGGCAUUCAUCAAUGUCUCUCUUGGGAAAGGGACCUUUAAACACGAAGGCUAUGUGCUUGCUGCGUUACUGUUCGUCUGCAAAUGUUGUGAAUCAUUGUCACAGAGACAGUGGUAUUUCCGCACUCGGAGAUUAGGGCUGCAGGUGAGGUCACUCCUGUCAGCAGCUAUUUAUAAGAAACAACAGAAGCUAUCGAAUGCAGCAAAAAUGAAGCACUCUUCUGGAGAAAUUAUGAACUAUGUGACCGUCGACGCGUAUCGGAUUGGGGAAUUCCCAUACUGGUUCCAUCAAUCAUGGACAACUAGUGUUCAGCUCUGCAUUGCUCUGGCAAUUCUAUACAAUGCGGUUGGUGCUGCAAUGAUUUCAUCUUUAGUUGUCAUUAUUAUCACUGUACUGUGCAGCGUUCCAUUGGCCAGACUGCAACACAAAUUUCAGAGUAAACUUAUGGAAGCAUAA
Molecule: ribosomal RNA, 807 nt
Filed under: Triticum aestivum (bread wheat)
Lineage: Eukaryota; Viridiplantae; Streptophyta; Magnoliopsida; Poales; Poaceae
Description: partial small subunit ribosomal RNA
Source: RNAcentral